GGAAACACUCCACUUUUGUUUGCUAUAAAUUCCAGGAGACAGCAUAUGGUGGAAUUUUUAUUGAAGAACCAGGCAAAUAUACAUGCCGUUGACAAUUUCAAAAGAACAGCCCUCAUACUUGCAGUACAGCAUAACUUGUCAAGUAUCGUCACCCUCCUGCUUCAACAAAAUAUACAUAUCUCUUCUCAAGACAUGUUUGGCCAAACUGCCGAGGAUUAUGCUUUUUGUUGUGAUUUGAGAAGCAUCCGACAACAAAUUUUGGAACAUAAAAAUAAGAUGCUUAAAAAUCAUCUUCGAAAUGACAAUCAAGAAGCAGCAGCCAUGAAGAAUGAAAGUUUUAAAACACAAGGAGCAAGUUCAAAAGGUAGGACACCUGAGUGAACUUUGUAGAGUUUAUGAGCAGUUCAAAUUUACUAGUGC
RNAcentral lists this small RNA (420 nucleotides) under Pan troglodytes (chimpanzee). Its description in RNAcentral is "processed transcript". Lineage: Eukaryota; Metazoa; Chordata; Mammalia; Primates; Hominidae. The record is from RNAcentral.